RNAcentral lists this long non-coding RNA (481 nucleotides) under Capra hircus (goat). Its description in RNAcentral is "lncRNA (ENSCHIG00010001374.1)". Lineage: Eukaryota; Metazoa; Chordata; Mammalia; Artiodactyla; Bovidae. The record is from RNAcentral.
GUAAGUAUUUAGUGAUUGGCUCUGGGAAAAACAAUUAUAGUAUUUGCCUAUUUUUGUAGGGCAAUGGCUUACAGCAGCCACUAGAGGGAUCUCUGUUUUCAAGCCACUAGAGAGACAUCAUUGAACACAAGCUGGGAAGGGUGCGCUGAUAGGCACCAUUGUUCAGAGUGUCUACUACACAGAUGAGACAGACGUCAAUAGCCUCAGGAGUACAGGAGAGGGUCAGGCUGUCUGAUUCUGAGUAUUCUGAAGAGCAUGCAGUCACAGACGCUGGAGGACCCAGGCUGCGGACACUGCCCGGAGAAUUACGUGAAUUAUUUUUAGGACUUCUGUUUAGCUGAAUGCAUUCCUUUGCAGGGAAUUUAAAGUGCUUCAUUCAGCUGUCCUUUAAUUGUCAGCUGGGGAGGCACAGAAUUAUCACCUCAUUUCAUGAAUGAGGAGGCUGGAGAAGCUUGACUCAUUCAAGGCCACUCAGGUGGCU